This 711-nucleotide long non-coding RNA is filed under the name Monodelphis domestica (gray short-tailed opossum). Its description in RNAcentral is "lncRNA (ENSMODG00000044963.1)". The record is from RNAcentral. Lineage: Eukaryota; Metazoa; Chordata; Mammalia; Didelphimorphia; Didelphidae.
UGCUUGCUCUUCUUACUGGCCAGGCUAUUUUUAGCAGGGGGACUUUUGGCAAAGAAGAAAUAAACUGCUUCUCUCAUCCAACUGCUUGAGUCUUUCCACGUUCCUCCUUUGUUCCUCCUCAAUGCUAACUCUGGCUUGCUGAUACUGCUUCCUCCUGAUCUUCUAGACCCAGAUUGCUCACCCAGUCCCAGCCCCUAGGCCUCCAGAAAUCCUCUUCCUGAUCUCCAGCUCUGAUCCUAAAUCGACCUCCCCCACUGUUGCUGGGCUGAUUGCUGCCACCAAGAAGCUAGGAGUCCUUGGAGUCACUCCUCAGGGCAGAUGGACAAGAGAAUACAAAAAGAACCGUUGCACAGUGCCAAAGAAGCCCAAAGCUAAAUUGUGCAGUGCCAAUUGAGCACAAGGUCAAAGUGAUCCAGAAAUCCUGAUGGGAUUCAUGAAAAUUUUGAGCCAAGACAAGAGGACUUUAACUUGUUUGGGGUUUGAGGUUGUAGCUGUUUAACAUGUGUUAAAGGCAGGUCUUCCUUGUCCCACAUUCUACCAAGUAUCUCAAAUUUGGCUCCUAUCUGGCUCCUAUUAUCUAGUCCCUUUUCUGUCUUUCAUGGUGUGACAAACUUUCUAUAGUUCUGGAUACUGAUUGGGUAAAUGUAUAAUUGCUUAAAUCAUUUUAAUUGGGCCCUGAUUCAAGGACCUGUUAUAGAUUUGUUUUUCCUU